Molecule: ribosomal RNA, 253 nt
Filed under: uncultured bacterium
Lineage: Bacteria
Description: partial 16S ribosomal RNA
Rfam family: Bacterial small subunit ribosomal RNA
Source: RNAcentral
UACGUAGGGUCCGAGCGUUGUCCGGAAUUACUGGGCGUAAAGAGCUCGUAGGUGGUUUGUCGCGUUGUUCGUGAAAACUCACAGCUCAACUGUGGGCGUGCGGGCGAUACGGGCAGACUGGAGUACUGCAGGGGAGACUGGAAUUCCUGGUGUAGCGGUGGAAUGCGCAGAUAUCAGGAGGAACACCGGUGGCGAAGGCGGGUCUCUGGGCAGUAACUGACGCUGAGGGGCGAAAGCGUGGGGAGCGAACAGG